GAUGAACGCUGGCGGCGUGCCUAAUACAUGCAAGUCGAGCGAACAGAUAAGGAGCUUGCUCCUUUGACGUUAGCGGCGGACGGGUGAGUAACACGUGGGUAACUUACCUAUAAGACUGGAAUAACUCCGGGAACCCGGGGCUAAUGCCGGAUAACAUGUUGAACCGCAUGGUUCUACAGUGAAAGGCGGCUUUGCUGUCACUUAUAGAUGGACCCGCGCCGUAUUAGCUAGUUGGUGAGGUAACGGCUCACCAAGGCAACGAUACGUAGCCGACCUGAGAGGGUGAUCGGCCACACUGGAACUGAGACACGGUCCAGACUCCUACGGGAGGCAGCAGUAGGGAAUCUUCCGCAAUGGGCGAAAGCCUGACGGAGCAACGCCGCGUGAGUGAUGAAGGUCUUCGGAUCGUAAAACUCUGUUAUUAGGGAAGAACAAAUGCGUAAGUAACUGUGCGCGUCUUGACGGUACCUAAUCAGAAAGCCACGGCUAACUACGUG
This 497-nucleotide ribosomal RNA is filed under the name uncultured bacterium. Its description in RNAcentral is "partial 16S ribosomal RNA". It matches the Rfam family "Bacterial small subunit ribosomal RNA", at positions 28 to 507 of the family's 1533-position model. The record is from RNAcentral.